Molecule: ribosomal RNA, 253 nt
Filed under: uncultured bacterium
Lineage: Bacteria
Description: partial 16S ribosomal RNA
Rfam family: Bacterial small subunit ribosomal RNA
Source: RNAcentral
UACGUAGGUGGCAAGCGUUGUUCGGAAUUAUUGGGCGUAAGGGGCGCGUAGGCGGCUUGUUAAGUCAGCUGUGAAAGCCCGGGGCUCAACCCCGGAGGGUCAGCUGAUACUGGCUAGCUAGAGUACGGAAGAGGUAGCUGGGAUUCCCGGUGUAGCGGUGAAAUGCGUAGAUAUCGGGAGGAACACCAGAGGCGAAGGCGGGCUACUGGGCCGAUACUGACGCUGAUGCGCGAAAGCCAGGGGAGCAAACGGG